Pelobates cultripes (western spadefoot toad) is the source of this 253-nucleotide non-coding RNA. NCBI's taxonomy places the organism in Eukaryota, Metazoa, Chordata, Amphibia, Anura, Pelobatidae. The record is from the annotation of a GenBank genome assembly.
UACCUGAUCGCCGUCGUUCCCCCGGCGGCGAUCAGCGUGGCUCCGGUUGUGGGGAGACUGCCUGCAGCCCAGGCAGUCUCCCCACGGCAGAUUAGGACCCCUGUGGCCAUGUGAUCGCUUAACAGAGCGAUCACAUGGUCACAAUAGGUGUCCAUGUGUCUGCCUGCAGGGGGACUGUCUGUGCUGACAGGCAGUCUCCCUGCAUGUGUAAAAUCAAAAAAUAAAUUAAAGUUAGUGUUAAUAAAAAAAAAAA